GAUUAGAUACCCCACUAUGCCCAGCCUUAACAAAACAAUUAAAACCACCAAUUGUUCGCCAAAUAACUACGAGUUUUAACUUAAAAUUUAAAUGACUUGACGGUACCCCACAACAACCUAGAGUAGCCUGUCUAAUAAUAGAUACCCCACGAUUAACCCUACCCACCACCUAGCCUAACAGUCUAUAUACCGCCGUCGCCAGCCCACCUCGUGAGAGAACAAAAGUGGGCCAAACAGUCAAACACUAGUACGACAGGUCAAGGUGUAACUAAUGGGUGGGAUCAAGAUGGGCUACAUUCUCUAACACAGAGAACACGAAUCAAACUCUGAAAAAAGAAACUGAAGGCGGAUUUAGCAGUAUAUUAAGAACAAAAUACUUAAUUGAAACAAACGCAAUGGAGUGCGCACACACCGCCCGUCAUCCCUGCUACCAACCUAACAUAUCCAUAAUAACACUACCACCACAAACCAGGGCAAGUCGUAACA
This 486-nucleotide ribosomal RNA is filed under the name Oligodon arnensis (Russet kukri snake). RNAcentral's name for it is "partial 12S ribosomal RNA". The record is from RNAcentral. Lineage: Eukaryota; Metazoa; Chordata; Lepidosauria; Squamata; Colubridae.